RNAcentral lists this ribosomal RNA (229 nucleotides) under uncultured bacterium. RNAcentral describes it as "partial 16S ribosomal RNA". It matches the Rfam family "Bacterial small subunit ribosomal RNA", at positions 568 to 796 of the family's 1533-position model. The record is from RNAcentral.
UGCGUAGGCGGAUUGAUAAGUCAGUGGUGAAAACCUACAGCUUAACUGUAGAACUGCCAUUGAUACUGUUAGUCUUGAGUACGGUCAAGGUAGGCGGAAUGUGUAAUGUAGCGGUGAAAUGCUUAGAUAUUACACAGAACACCGAUUGCGAAGGCAGCUUACUGGACCAUUACUGACGCUGAGGUACGAAAGCGUGGGGAGCGAACAGGAUUAGAUACCCUGGUAGUCC